RNAcentral lists this long non-coding RNA (1191 nucleotides) under Macaca fascicularis (crab-eating macaque). Its description in RNAcentral is "lncRNA (ENSMFAG00000064424.1)". Lineage: Eukaryota; Metazoa; Chordata; Mammalia; Primates; Cercopithecidae. The record is from RNAcentral.
AUGUGGAGGGUGGCGGCGCGCCUUCAGGCUCCUCACACGCCUUCCCCAAUUAGGAUCUGCCGCCUGACGUCACGUCUGCCGGAGAUUGGCUGCUCAGGUCUGACACUCGGGGCCACGGGAGAGAAACUUUUAAAAGACUUCGCCGCCGGGGCUGCCUCAGAGUAUCCCGCGCGCUCUCUCUCGCUCUCGGCCACCCUCGCCGGGCCCCGCCGCGGCGCGCUGCACCCCCGGUCGGGCGCGCGGACCCUCACCUUGCACUGCCCGCUCCCUCGCCCCUCCCCGCUCCCCGGGCUACGCGCUCCCCACCCCACGCCCGCCCCCUGCUCCCCGCCACAAUCGGCCGGGGUCUGGGGCCGCUCAGCUGCCCGCAGAGCCUCCUCCCGCCUUUCCCGAGCUCUCGGCAGCUCUCGGGGAGCCCGAACGCGCGGGGAAAGGCGAGCCGCACGGCCGGGGGAGGGGGCCGGACCGCGCGCGGCCGGUCGCGCCGGCUGGGGCCCGCGAUGGCGGGGGCCUGGCUCAGGUGGGGCUCCUGCUCUGGGCAGGACUGCUCGCGUCGUCGGCGCACGGCCGGGUGCGGAGGAUCACCUACGUGGUGCACCCGGGCCCCGGCCUGGCAGCGGGCGCCUUGCCCCUGAGCGGGCCCCGCGUUCGCGGACCUUCAACGUCGCGCUCAACGCCAGGUACAGCCGCAGCUCGGCGGCUGCGGGCGCCCUAGCCGCGCCUCCCCCGGGGUCCCCUCGGAGAGGACCCGGCGCACGAGCAAGCCUGGCGGCGCGGCCCUGCAGGGGCUCAGACCGCCGCCGCCGCCGCCGCCGCCGGAGCCGGCGCGUCCCGCGGCCCCCGGCGGGCAGCUCCACCCCAAGCCCGGCGGCCACCCGGCAGCCGCCCCGUUCGCCAAACAAGGCAGGCAAGUCGUGCGCUCCAAGGUGCCGCAGGAGACCCAGAGCAGCGGGGGCUCCAGGCUGCAGGUUCACCAGAAGCAGCAGCUGCAGGGUAAGCCCACACCCCUUCCGCCCGCCAGCCUCGCGCGCGCCGCCCGCUGAGGGACCUGCGGGGUCAGGGCCACUCGGAGCCUGCGGUGGCCGGGGCGCUCGCGCGCGGUGGGUCGGCUUUCUCUCCCCGCCUCCGCCUGCGCUGAGCGCCGCGGGAAGAGCGGAGUGCGGGGAAGCCCAGGGACUUUUACUGACGUGA